RNAcentral lists this long non-coding RNA (344 nucleotides) under Homo sapiens (human). Its description in RNAcentral is "HSALNT0321793". Lineage: Eukaryota; Metazoa; Chordata; Mammalia; Primates; Hominidae. The record is from RNAcentral.
ACAGGGUCUAGCUAUGUCUCCCAGGUUGAUCUUGAACUCCUGGGCUUAAGGGAUCCUCCGGCGGCGUUGGCCUCCUGAAGUGCUGGGAUUACACACUUGAGCUACCACACCCGGCCCCUAUGUAGAUUUUGAUUCAAGUUUGGAAAAAGGUUUAAAAAACAAGAACAAAAGGCAUUAUGGGAAAAAAAAAUCAUGUAGUGGCAAUAUUCGGAGACUUUAAGGAACACAGUAAAUGAUGACAUGAUCCUCUUUCUAAGAAAUGUAAGUUUAGCUUUCACAGCAGGGAGAGGAACACUUAGCCACUCUGUGAGUUUUGAUACCUUUGACUUCCCAUGGAAGAUCUC